CCAGUUGAUCGCAUGGUCUUCUGGGAAAGCUUUCGCGGUAUGGGAUGGGGUCGCGUCCUAUCAGCUUGACGGCGGGGUAACGGCCCACCGUGGCUUCGACGGGUAGCCGGCCUGAGAGGGCGACCGGCCACAUUGGGACUGAGAUACGGCCCAGACUCCUACGGGAGGCAGCAGUGGGGAAUAUUGCACAAUGGGCGCAAGCCUGAUGCAGCGACGCCGCGUGAGGGAUGGAGGCCUUCGGGUUGUAAACCUCUUUUAUCGGGGAGCAAGCGAGAGUGAGUUUACCCGUUGAAUAAGCACCGGCUAACUACGUGCCAGCAGCCGCGGUAAUACGUAGGGUGCAAGCGUUAUCCGGAAUUAUUGGGCGUAAAGGGCUCGUAGGCGGUUCGUCGCGUCCGGUGUGAAAGUCCAUCGCUUAACGGUGGAUCCGCGCCGGGUACGGGCGGG
This 447-nucleotide ribosomal RNA is filed under the name uncultured Bifidobacterium sp. RNAcentral describes it as "bacterial SSU rRNA". It matches the Rfam family "Bacterial small subunit ribosomal RNA", at positions 173 to 640 of the family's 1533-position model. Lineage: Bacteria; Bacillati; Actinomycetota; Actinomycetes; Bifidobacteriales; Bifidobacteriaceae. The record is from RNAcentral.